GCCUGUUAGGUGGGGAUAACGUUCCGAAAGGAACGCUAAUACCGCAUACGUCCUACGGGAGAAAGCGAGGGGACCUUCGGGCCUUGCGCUAACAGAUGACGCCCAGGUCGGAUUAGCUAGUUGGUGGGUAAAGGCUCACCAAGGCGACGAUCCGUAGCUGGUCUGAGAGGAUGAUCAGCCACACUGGAACUGAGACACGGUCCAGACUCCUACGGGAGGCAGCAGGUGGGGAAUAUUGGACAAUGGGCGAAAGCCUGAUCCAGCCAUGCCGCGUGUGUGAAGAAGGCCUUCGGGUUGUAAAGCACUUUAAGCGGGGAGGAAGUACUUGGGGCUAAUACCCCUGAGUGUUGACGUUACCCGCAGAAUAAGCACCGGCUAACUCUGUG
RNAcentral lists this ribosomal RNA (386 nucleotides) under uncultured bacterium. Its description in RNAcentral is "bacterial SSU rRNA". It matches the Rfam family "Bacterial small subunit ribosomal RNA", at positions 128 to 507 of the family's 1533-position model. The record is from RNAcentral.